AGUUAAACUCUGUGUAUUAUCUAGAGGCUUUGUAGACCUAAUGUACAGUCAAGGUGGUGUUUUGUUAAUAGACGUGAUGGCUCCAACGGCCUAAUAUUGUAUAUAUAUAUAUAUGUGUGCUCGAGCUUAUACAGGUGAUUAUUUCCUUUUAUAUGCGACAUGAUGCUGUCCGAAUUUUGGGUUGUCAUAGAGGUAUGCACGGGA
RNAcentral lists this long non-coding RNA (204 nucleotides) under Capsicum annuum. RNAcentral's name for it is "long non-coding RNA (CANN_LNC021300)". Lineage: Eukaryota; Viridiplantae; Streptophyta; Magnoliopsida; Solanales; Solanaceae. The record is from RNAcentral.